RNAcentral lists this long non-coding RNA (2440 nucleotides) under Macaca fascicularis (crab-eating macaque). RNAcentral describes it as "lncRNA (ENSMFAG00000064962.1)". The record is from RNAcentral. Lineage: Eukaryota; Metazoa; Chordata; Mammalia; Primates; Cercopithecidae.
AUGAUAGUUCUUAUUUUUAAUUUUUUGGGGGAACUUCCAUCCUGUUUUCCAUAAUGGCUGUACCAAUUUACAUUCCCACCAACAGUGUACAAGAGUUACUUUUUCUCCACAUUCUUGCCAACACUUGAUAUCUUUUGUCUUUUUGAUAAUAUACGGGUUGUCUCUUCACACUAUUGAUCGCAUCUUUUGCUAUGCAGGAUAUGUUUUGUUUGAGUGCUGCUGUGCAAGGGAGGACCUUGCCUUCCCAUCCCUGUCAGCACAUGUGUGCCUAUGCACUCUGCUAUGCUACUGCUGCUGGUGUGCAUGCAUCCUGCCAUCCCUCCCCUGCUCUGCACUGCCAUCAUCUUUUGAUCAUUGUUGGACACAGAGCAUGCCAGCCCCAUCUCCAUCGGCACCUAGCCCCUGCUCUGACAUUGCCACCAGUGUGAAACUAUACAUGGAGAACAGUAGACCUGUCCCUGCCCUGAGUGGCCACCACCACCUGUGUAAAUGUGUAUGAAGCGCACACACAGUCCUGGGCCCCCAGUGGCCCACUCCUGUGCUAACACUACCACCAGUGUGAACCAAUAUACAGUGGCUUUCAGAGGCCUCCUGGACCCCCAAACUAUGAUGCCACUGCCACUGCUGCAAGCACCUGCACAGAAGCUGGCACCCUGAGACUGCCAGGAACCUGCCACAGCUGAAGAGUGUGCACACCACUGUUCUGCUGCUGCUGCUGCUGCUGAUACAUGUGAAAUAGAAUGAAUCUUGCUGCCACUGCCCCACAAAGUGCUUUGGCUGGCACCACUCAUCGGAGUGUUGUUACCGGCAGUUCAGGAGCAACUAGGCCCCUCCUGCAUAACAGGUUUCUAACCUCGAGGAGCCAGAGAAAAAAGCCAGGGCUUGAUACCAGUCUCCCAGAGUUAGAGUAUGCAGUACAGAAGUCCUGGACUGAGCCUUGGCCACCUAAAAUCUUCCAGAAAUGAAGCUAGUUGACUGAAAUCACUUUAUACCACAAACAAAUCCCAAAGGUCAUCAAAUAGGAUACAAGAAAAAAAAUUCAAAGGAAAGCAACUUCAAAAAUUUAAGGAACAUGAGCCCACAAAGAUGAGAAAGAACAAGCAAAAGAACUCUGACAACUCAAAAAUCCAGAGUAUUUUAUUUUCUCCAAAUGAUAGCACUAGUUCUCUAGCAAGGGUUCUUAACUGGCAUGAGGUGGCUGAAAUGACAGAAAUAUAAUUCAGAAUAUGGAUAGGAAUGAAGAUUAUGGAGAUCUAGGAGAGUGUUUAAACCAAAUCUAAGAAAGCUAAGAAUCACAAUGAAAUGAUACAGAAGUUGACAGACAAAAUAACCGUUAUAGAAGAGAGUGUAACCAACCUGAGAGAGCUGAAAAACCCACUACAAGAAUUUCAGAAUAUAAUUGCAAGUUUAAACAGCAGAAUAGACAUAAUUGAGGAAAGAAUCUCAGAGUCUGAAGACUGACUUUGUGAAAGAAGGCAGUCAGACAAAAAUAAAGACAAAAGAAUGAAAACGAACAAAUGAAAUCUCCAAGACAUAUGGGAUUAUGUAAAGAAGCUGAAUCUAUAACUCGUUGGCAUUCCUGAAAGACAUGAAGAAAGUAUAAGCAACUUGGAAAAUGUAUUUCAGGAUAUCAUUUAUGAUAAUGUCCCCAACCUAGCUAGAGAGGCCAAUAUUCAAAUUUAGGAAAUACAGAGAACCCUGAAAAUACUUCACAAGAAGAUCAUCCCUCAGACACGUAAUCAUCAGAUUCUCUAAGGUUGAAAUGAAAGAACAAAUGUUAAAGGCAGCCAGAGAGAAAGGGCCACCUAAAAAAGGAAGCCCUUCAGACUACCUACAGAGUUCUCAGCAAAACCCUACAAGCCAGAAGAGUCUGGGACCCUAUGUUCAACAUUCUUAAAGAAAAGAAAUUCCAACCAAGAAUUUCAUAUCCAGUCAAACUAAGCUUCAUAACCAAAGGAGAAAUAAGAUCUUUUUCAGACAAGCAAAUACUGAGAGCAUUCUUUACCACCAGAGCUGCCUUACAAGAACUCCUGAAUGAAGCACUCAAUGUGGAAAGGAAAGACCAUUACCAGCCACUACAAGAAAACACACUUAAAUACACAAACUGGUGACACUAUAAGGCAACUACGCAAACAAGUUAGCAUAACAACCAGCUAAUGACACAAUAACAGGAUCAAAUCCACAUGUGUCAAUAUUAACCUUGAAUGUAAAUGGGCUAAAUGCCCCACCUAAAAGGCACAGAAUGGCAAGCUUGAUAAAGAUGCAAGACCCAAUGGUAUGCUGUCAUCAAGAGAGUCAUCUCACAUGCAAUGACACACAUAAGCUUAAAAUAAAGAAGUGGAGAAAAAUCUACUAAAAGCAAAUAGAAAACAGAAAAAAGGAGGGGUUGCAAUCCUAAUUUCAGAAAAAAAGAACAUUAAACUAACAAAGAUUAAAAAAA